RNAcentral lists this ribosomal RNA (253 nucleotides) under uncultured bacterium. Its description in RNAcentral is "partial 16S ribosomal RNA". It matches the Rfam family "Bacterial small subunit ribosomal RNA", at positions 524 to 776 of the family's 1533-position model. The record is from RNAcentral.
UACGGAGGGUGCAAGCGUUAUUCGGAAUCACUGGGCGUAAAGGGCGUGUAGGCUGUUUACUAAGUCCGAUGUGAAAGCCCCCGACUCAAUUGGGGAAGUGCAUUGGAUACUGGUAGACUAGAGUACAGGAGAGGAGAACGGAAUUCCCGGUGUAGAGGUGAAAUUCGUAGAUAUCGGGAGGAACAACAGAGGCGAAGGCGGUUCUCUGGACUGUUACUGACGCUGAGGCGCGAAAGCGUGGGGAGCAAACAGG